Molecule: ribosomal RNA, 157 nt
Filed under: Alternaria tenuissima
Lineage: Eukaryota; Fungi; Ascomycota; Dothideomycetes; Pleosporales; Pleosporaceae
Description: 5.8S ribosomal RNA
Rfam family: 5.8S ribosomal RNA
About the family: 5.8S ribosomal RNA (5.8S rRNA) is a component of the large subunit of the eukaryotic ribosome. It is transcribed by RNA polymerase I as part of the 45S precursor that also contains 18S and 28S rRNA. Functionally, it is thought that 5.8S rRNA may be involved in ribosome translocation.
Source: RNAcentral
CAACUUUCAACAACGGAUCUCUUGGUUCUGGCAUCGAUGAAGAACGCAGCGAAAUGCGAUAAGUAGUGUGAAUUGCAGAAUUCAGUGAAUCAUCGAAUCUUUGAACGCACAUUGCGCCCUCUGGUAUUCCAAAGGGCAUGCCUGUUCGAGCGUCAUU